GGUCGGGUCCCAUGCAAGUGCCCGGUGCGAAUCUGGUCAGGCGGGGAACCGAGCAGCCAUAAGCAUUCGCGGUGCUGUGCGUGGCAAACCCGACCACC
This 98-nucleotide signal recognition particle RNA is filed under the name Phycisphaerales bacterium. RNAcentral's name for it is "signal recognition particle sRNA small type". It matches the Rfam family "Bacterial small signal recognition particle RNA". Rfam says of the family: The signal recognition particle (SRP) is a universally conserved ribonucleoprotein involved in the co-translational targeting of proteins to membranes. Archaeal SRP consists of a 7S RNA and homologues of the eukaryotic SRP19 and SRP54 proteins. The record is from RNAcentral. Lineage: Bacteria; Pseudomonadati; Planctomycetota; Phycisphaerae; Phycisphaerales.